AUCUUAUCUGGAGAGGUGGAGGGACUGGCCCUUUGAAACCCAGCAACCAUCCUUUUUAGGAACGGUGCUAAUUCCUGCAAGGCGUGAGCUUUGAAUGAUAAGAG
This 104-nucleotide non-coding RNA is filed under the name Pontibacillus chungwhensis. RNAcentral describes it as "SAM-I sequence". It matches the Rfam family "SAM riboswitch aptamer (S box leader)". From Rfam's summary of the family: The SAM riboswitch is found upstream of a number of genes which code for proteins involved in methionine or cysteine biosynthesis in Gram-positive bacteria. The SAM riboswitch acts at the level of transcription termination control. The record is from RNAcentral. Lineage: Bacteria; Bacillati; Bacillota; Bacilli; Caryophanales; Bacillaceae. RNAcentral also lists the same sequence under 1 other name.